This 501-nucleotide ribosomal RNA is filed under the name uncultured Oscillibacter sp. RNAcentral's name for it is "partial 16S ribosomal RNA". Lineage: Bacteria; Bacillati; Bacillota; Clostridia; Eubacteriales; Oscillospiraceae. The record is from RNAcentral.
CACGUAGUUAGCCGUGGCUUAUUCAAGGGGUACCGUCUUCUGCUCUUCCCUCUUAAAAGAAGUUUACAACCCGAAAGCCUUCUUCCUUCACGCGGCGUUGCUGGGUCAGGCUUGCGCCCAUUGCCCAAUAUUCCCCACUGCUGCCUCCCGUAGGAGUCUGGGCCGUAUCUCAGUCCCAAUGUGGCCGGCCAACCUCUCAGUCCGGCUACUGAUCGUCGCCUUGGUGGGCCGUUACCUCACCAACUAGCUAAUCAGACGCGAGGCCAUCUCUCAGCGAUAAAUCUUUGGCACAGAUACCAUGCGAUACCCAUGCGUUAUGCGGUAUUAGCAGUCGUUUCCAACUGUUGUCCCCCUCUGAAAGGCAGGUUCCUCACGCGUUACUCACCCGUCCGCCACUAAGUAACUCCAUCCAUUGACCGAAAUCUCUUUCCGGAGCACUCCGUUCGACUUGCAUGUGUUAAGCACGCCGCCAGCGUUCGUCCUGAGCCAGGAUCAAACUCU